RNAcentral lists this ribosomal RNA (1442 nucleotides) under Bacillus pumilus. RNAcentral's name for it is "16S ribosomal RNA". It matches the Rfam family "Bacterial small subunit ribosomal RNA". Lineage: Bacteria; Bacillati; Bacillota; Bacilli; Caryophanales; Bacillaceae. The record is from RNAcentral.
CAGGACGAACGCUGGCGGCGUGCCUAAUACAUGCAAGUCGAGCGGACAGAAGGGAGCUUGCUCCCGGAUGUUAGCGGCGGACGGGUGAGUAACACGUGGGUAACCUGCCUGUAAGACUGGGAUAACUCCGGGAAACCGGAGCUAAUACCGGAUAGUUCCUUGAACCGCAUGGUUCAAGGAUGAAAGACGGUUUCGGCUGUCACUUACAGAUGGACCCGCGGCGCAUUAGCUAGUUGGUGAGGUAACGGCUCACCAAGGCGACGAUGCGUAGCCGACCUGAGAGGGUGAUCGGCCACACUGGGACUGAGACACGGCCCAGACUCCUACGGGAGGCAGCAGUAGGGAAUCUUCCGCAAUGGACGAAAGUCUGACGGAGCAACGCCGCGUGAGUGAUGAAGGUUUUCGGAUCGUAAAGCUCUGUUGUUAGGGAAGAACAAGUGCAAGAGUAACUGCUUGCACCUUGACGGUACCUAACCAGAAAGCCACGGCUAACUACGUGCCAGCAGCCGCGGUAAUACGUAGGUGGCAAGCGUUGUCCGGAAUUAUUGGGCGUAAAGGGCUCGCAGGCGGUUUCUUAAGUCUGAUGUGAAAGCCCCCGGCUCAACCGGGGAGGGUCAUUGGAAACUGGGAAACUUGAGUGCAGAAGAGGAGAGUGGAAUUCCACGUGUAGCGGUGAAAUGCGUAGAGAUGUGGAGGAACACCAGUGGCGAAGGCGACUCUCUGGUCUGUAACUGACGCUGAGGAGCGAAAGCGUGGGGAGCGAACAGGAUUAGAUACCCUGGUAGUCCACGCCGUAAACGAUGAGUGCUAAGUGUUAGGGGGUUUCCGCCCCUUAGUGCUGCAGCUAACGCAUUAAGCACUCCGCCUGGGGAGUACGGUCGCAAGACUGAAACUCAAAGGAAUUGACGGGGGCCCGCACAAGCGGUGGAGCAUGUGGUUUAAUUCGAAGCAACGCGAAGAACCUUACCAGGUCUUGACAUCCUCUGACAACCCUAGAGAUAGGGCUUUCCCUUCGGGGACAGAGUGACAGGUGGUGCAUGGUUGUCGUCAGCUCGUGUCGUGAGAUGUUGGGUUAAGUCCCGCAACGAGCGCAACCCUUGAUCUUAGUUGCCAGCAUUCAGUUGGGCACUCUAAGGUGACUGCCGGUGACAAACCGGAGGAAGGUGGGGAUGACGUCAAAUCAUCAUGCCCCUUAUGACCUGGGCUACACACGUGCUACAAUGGACAGAACAAAGGGCUGCGAGACCGCAAGGUUUAGCCAAUCCCACAAAUCUGUUCUCAGUUCGGAUCGCAGUCUGCAACUCGACUGCGUGAAGCUGGAAUCGCUAGUAAUCGCGGAUCACAUGCCGGNGGGAAAUAAAGUUUCCCGGGGCCUUGUACACACCGCCCGUCACACCACGAGAGUUUGCAACACCCGAAGUCGGUGAGGUAACCUUUAUGGA